RNAcentral lists this ribosomal RNA (271 nucleotides) under uncultured bacterium. RNAcentral's name for it is "partial 16S ribosomal RNA". It matches the Rfam family "Bacterial small subunit ribosomal RNA", at positions 524 to 794 of the family's 1533-position model. The record is from RNAcentral.
UACGUAGGGUGCGAGCGUUAAUCGGAAUUACUGGGCGUAAAGCGUGCGCAGGUGGUUGUUUAAGACAGAUGUGAAAUCCCCGGGCUCAACCUGGGAACUGCGUUUGUGACUGGACAGCUAGAGUGCGGCAGAGGGGGGUGGAAUUCCACGUGUAGCAGUGAAAUGCGUAGAGAUGUGGAGGAACACCGAUGGCGAAGGCAGCCCCCUGGGCCAGCACUGACGCUCAUGCACGAAAGCGUGGGGAGCAAACAGGAUUAGAAACCCUUGUAGU